Molecule: ribosomal RNA, 775 nt
Filed under: uncultured Neocallimastigales
Lineage: Eukaryota; Fungi; Neocallimastigomycota; Neocallimastigomycetes; Neocallimastigales
Description: partial large subunit ribosomal RNA
Rfam family: Eukaryotic large subunit ribosomal RNA
Source: RNAcentral
AGAGAUGUGUGAUGACGCAUAUCAAUAAGCGGAGGAAAAGAAACUAACAAGGAUUCCCUUAGUAACGGCGAGUGAAGCGGGAAGAGCUCAAAUUUGAAAUCUUCAAGGUUCUACCUUGACGAAUUGUAGUUUAUAGAAGUGUUUUCUGUUAGUAGAGUGGCAAAAGUUCUUUGGAAUAGGACAUCAUAGAGGGUGAGAAUCCCGUAUUUGGUCAUUCUUUCUAGCUUUGUGAUACACUUUCAACGAGUCGGAUUGUUUGGGAAUGCAGUCCAAAAUGGGUGGUAAAUUUCAUCUAAAGCUAAAUAUUGGCGAGAGACCGAUAGCGAACAAGUACCGUGAGGGAAAGAUGAAAAGAACUUUGAAAAGAGAGUUAAACAGUACGUGAAAUUGUCAAAAGGGAAGCGUUUGACACCAGUGUUGUUUUUCCGAAAAUCAAUUAAACUGAAUGUUUAUUUUUGAUAGUUAUGACUUCAUCAGGCCUGCAUUCUCUCUUUAUGUACUUUCUUAAUGCACUUUUCGUUAACAAGUCAACAUCAAUUUCUUUUGUUGUAAAAGGGUAUGAGGAAGGUGGCUUUCUUUUCGGAGAAAGUGUUUAUAGCCUUGUGCCUCUGCAAUCGGAGAGAUUGAGGUCUGCAGCGUAGAUCCUUCGGGGUUAGAUACAUUUGUGCUAAGUUAUAGCUUUUCAUAGACAACUUGUUGACUAUGUUAAGUCUUGUAGCUUACUCGCUUAUGCUAUUUUACCUACGCUUAGGAUGUUGAUCUGUAGUGCGUGCGC